GUGUCCGUAGCUCAGUUGGAUAGAGCACCGGCCUUCUAAGCCGGGUGUCGGGGGUUCGAGUCCCCCCGGGCAUA
This 74-nucleotide transfer RNA is filed under the name Sarcina sp. DSM 11001. It matches the Rfam family "tRNA". Rfam says of the family: Transfer RNA (tRNA) molecules are approximately 80 nucleotides in length. Their secondary structure includes four short double-helical elements and three loops (D, anti-codon, and T loops). Further hydrogen bonds mediate the characteristic L-shaped molecular structure. tRNAs have two regions of fundamental functional importance: the anti-codon, which is responsible for specific mRNA codon recognition, and the 3' end, to which the tRNAs corresponding amino acid is attached (by aminoacyl-tRNA synthetases). tRNAs cope with the degeneracy of the genetic code in two manners: having more than one tRNA (with a specific anti-codon) for a particular amino acid; and 'wobble' base-pairing, i.e. permitting non-standard base-pairing at the 3rd anti-codon position. The record is from Rfam by way of RNAcentral. RNAcentral also lists the same sequence under 3 other names. Lineage: Bacteria; Bacillati; Bacillota; Clostridia; Eubacteriales; Clostridiaceae.